Molecule: long non-coding RNA, 593 nt
Filed under: Gallus gallus (chicken)
Lineage: Eukaryota; Metazoa; Chordata; Aves; Galliformes; Phasianidae
Description: lncRNA (ENSGALG00010006376.1)
Source: RNAcentral
GGAGGAACACAGGAUCUGUGACAGCGGAAAGCCAGAGGGCUGCAGGCACGGGGCAGAGGGGAGGGGAACCACCACUUCCCCCAGUUGUCACAGCAGGGAGACAUCCUCCAAGGGCUGCACUGAAGAUACUUGCGCAAGGAAGAAUUCAGCGUUUAUGGAUAUGCCCCUUGGAGGACUGAGGCCAUCAGAAGAAGACCCGUAAGUCAUUAAAACACUCUUGACUCCGAGAAGCUGUCUGCCCUGGACUCUGGAACCAUUGCACCAGGAGGAUCUGCAGCAACACUUCGGACUGCGAGCAGACCACCAGCUGCACAGCAGCCUCUGCUCUAAGCACAACUGGAGCUGAGUUGUCCCAGAGGAAACCACUACCGAUUCAGCUCUAGAGAGAGCUGCUUUAGCAGUAUUAAACACUGUGCAUUGAAUAGACAGUUCCAAAAUAAGAUGAUCUAGAACAACAUGGAAAUUCCAGCAUCCUUAACUAGCUGCUCAAAAAAAAUAAAAGUCCUGUCAGUAUAAUUUUGCUUUGUUUGGUUCUGCAGCUUCAGAUAUCUUGUUUCCCUGUUUAUUUUCUUGCUUCCAGGCAUAGAGUGUUG